AACGAACGCUGGCGGCAUGCCUAACACAUGCAAGUCGAACGAGACCUUCGGGUCUAGUGGCGCACGGGUGCGUAACGCGUGGGAACCUGCCCUUAGGUUCGGAAUAACUCCCCGAAAGGGGUGCUAAUACCGGAUAAUGUCUUCGGACCAAAGAUUUAUCGCCUCUGGAUGGGCCCGCGUUGUAUUAGCUAGUUGGUAGGGUAAAAGCCUACCAAGGCGACGAUCCAUAGCUGGUCUGAGAGGAUGAUCAGCCACACUGGGACUGAGACACGGCCCAGACUCCUACGGGAGGCAGCAGUGGGGAAUAUUGGAAAAUGGGCGAAAGCCUGAACCAGCAAUGCCGCGUGAGUGAUGAAGGCCUUAGGGUUGUAAAGCUCUUUUACCCGGGAUGAUAAUGACAGUACCGGGAGAAUAAGCUCCGGCUAACUCCGUG
RNAcentral lists this ribosomal RNA (433 nucleotides) under uncultured bacterium. RNAcentral's name for it is "partial 16S ribosomal RNA". It matches the Rfam family "Bacterial small subunit ribosomal RNA", at positions 29 to 507 of the family's 1533-position model. The record is from RNAcentral.